UUCCUAGGAAGGUUUCUCCAUUAGAUUGGCUGCAUAAAGUUUUGAAGCCCUUGGAGCCUCCUGCAGGUAUGUUCUCAGUGUCCCAUCGAGGAAUAAUCAUUGACAACCUGGUAGGAACCAGGUGACAGAAGCUUCUGUGGCUGUUGAGUUACAGGUGUGUCUGCAGGGAGGACUUUCCCAGCUCCUUUGCUGAUCACUGCCCGCAAGCCCGGCUCCCAUCGCAGGGGUCCUCCGAGAGGGAAGAACAGAGCCACAGGACAGAAAGAACCACUUGAGUCACACCAUAUCCUGAAAGAAAUAGAGAAGGAACUGCUCACAGGGCGUGGGAUGGACAGAGAGGCUCUAUGGAAGGCGGCAUUUCCUGAACGAAGGGAGGCAAUUGCAGGCACGGGCCCAGGCACAGGAGAUGCAGCCAGCACAACACGUGUUCCCAAUUUCCAGAAGGGCAUCAGAAGAGGUUUCUGUCAGGGAACACGCUGUUGGCUAGAAUUAAUGGCAGGCCUGCUUUGUUUGGUGCUUGUCUUCAUUUUAUGCUGUGUUGGAAUCUGGUAUGUCUGGAAGACAAAACAGUGAGUGUUUCGUUCAUCUUUCCCUCAAACAGCUUCUUUUGAAAGUUAUUGUAGAAUAGAAACAUUCCCAGUGAAGCUGCUGUGGACUUGUGGCUAGUCCUUGGUUGUCCAAAUAACUCUGCUGAGAGUUCUGCUGCUGCCCAGGGCUUCCAUUGGCCUCUUAAUUGCUGGGCCUUGUCCUGGGGAGCCCGCUGGGGCUGCAGCCAGUGCUGGCUGCCACUGAGGCUGCCUGGCCAAGAGCAGCCCCAGGAGCAGCGGGCAGAGGCAAAGCAAGGUGGGCAGGAGAAAGAGCGGGGACGAGAUUGCCCUUGAAAGGCAGAGGUGCUCUGGGGCCCGCUCCUGGCCAGGGACCCUGCCCAGAGCCAUCCCCUGCUCUCCAGGGCC
Cyanistes caeruleus (blue tit) is the source of this 953-nucleotide non-coding RNA. The record is from RefSeq and is a predicted model, not a curated record. NCBI's taxonomy places the organism in Eukaryota, Metazoa, Chordata, Aves, Passeriformes, Paridae.